This 515-nucleotide ribosomal RNA is filed under the name uncultured bacterium. RNAcentral describes it as "bacterial SSU rRNA". It matches the Rfam family "Bacterial small subunit ribosomal RNA", at positions 32 to 518 of the family's 1533-position model. The record is from RNAcentral.
AACGCUGGCGGCGUGCCUAAUACAUGCAAGUCGAACGGUCUUUUCUAUGGAAGCUUGCUUCCACUGAAAAGAUAGUGGCGAACGGGUGAGUAACACGUGGGUAACCUGCCCAUAAGAGGGGGAUAACAUCCGGAAACGGGUGCUAAUACCGCAUAGUUUUCUUGAUCGCAUGAUCGGGAAAGGAAAGACGGCCUUUGUGCUGUCGCUUAUGGAUGGACCCGCGGCGUAUUAGUUAGUUGGUGAGGUAACGGCUCACCAAGACGAUGAUACGUAGCCGACCUGAGAGGGUGAUCGGCCACAUUGGGACUGAGACACGGCCCAAACUCCUACGGGAGGCAGCAGUAGGGAAUCUUCCGCAAUGGACGAAAGUCUGACGGAGCAACGCCGCGUGAGUGAAGAAAAGGUUUUCGGAUCGUAAAACUCUGUUGUCAGAGAAGAACAAGUUGGAGAGUAACUGCUCCAGCCUUGACGGUAUCUGACCAGAAAGCCACGGCUAACUACGUGCCAGCCGCAGC